RNAcentral lists this unclassified non-coding RNA (1520 nucleotides) under Hevea brasiliensis (rubber tree). The record is from RNAcentral. Lineage: Eukaryota; Viridiplantae; Streptophyta; Magnoliopsida; Malpighiales; Euphorbiaceae.
UCUCUCCUAAAACGCUCCAUUACUCCCCCCCUCCUCAUGGCUCUCUCUAUAACCUCAAAACCUCGACAAUCAAACACCACCAGCAUUGGCGAGAUCCAAGAGAUCGAAGUUUUCCGCAGAUUCGACGUGCUAUCUGACUCCUCCGACCACCACUAUGUUAAUGCCAACACCACCACCAAACACACAGGCGUUGAUUGUUUCACCAAUCUCUCUAGUGCUGUCCACAAGAAGAUCAUGCAAGAGUGGAAAAUCCUCGAGAAACACCUUCCCGAUUCCAUCUUCGUUCGGGUUUACGAGAAUCGGAUAGAUUUAUUACGAGCAGUGAUCGUGGGCGCCGCCGGUACACCAUACCACGAUGGACUAUACUUCUUCGACGUUGCUUUUCCGUCCGAUUAUCCGUCCCGGCCGCCUCACGUUUAUUAUAGAUCAUACGGGUUGCGUAUCAACCCGAACCUCUAUGCGAACGGGCGGGUUUGUUUAAGCCUUGUAAACACGUGGCCUGGUAGGAAGAGCGAGAAAUGGAACCCCAAUGAGUCUACGGUGCUCCAGGUUUUGGUUUCGAUCCAAGCUCUUGUGCUGAAUGAGAGACCGUACUUUAACGAACCUGGUCAUGGCAUGUGGCCGGGUCGGAUCAUCUGGGAGAAGAGAUCGAAUUCCUACAAUGAGGAUGUUUUUGUGUUGUCUUGCAAGUCAAUGCUGUUUCUACAGCGCAGACCACCAAAGAAUUUUGAGGGUUUUGUUGCUUGGCAUUUUAGAGAGCGAGCGAACGUGAUAUUAUCGGCUUGUAAUGCUUACACAAGUGGUCGAGCUAGAGUUGGAUACUGCCCAACUGAUGGGUCAUCGUCGAGCUCCCCGAUUGUUGAAGUAUCGGAUAAAUUCAAGGGAUUAAUAGCACAGUUGUAUCCUGAGCUGGUUGCAGCUUUUACCAGGAGCGGGGCUUCACGAGAGACUUUGAUCGAGCAGCUGAAGGUGGAGCGGAAAUCGGCGUCGUAUAAAGGCCAGGUGGUAGUUAAAAAGAAGAUCAAAUCCAAUAGUGGGGUUGCGAGAAGGGUUUUGGGGAAAUUAAAGAAGGUUUUGGGAUUGAAGAAGAAAAGUGGAAAAAGCAGCAGCGUCAAAAAGAAGACGAUGCCUUCUUGAAAGAGGCGGAAGAAUGGAAGCAACGCCUGGGAGGGAGAGGGACCCAUUGGGAAUUUUAUUUGCUUAGUUAGGGCACUUUAUACAAGGAAUUCAACUGCACCUCCACUGUUGAACAUGUUCUCAAGGCCAACGGGUGCAAAUUUAGCUCGCUUAUUGUGCUUGAGCACUGGUGAAAUGGUGAAUAUUUCAAAGGAAGAAGGUUGGAGUGUGAUCUUAGUCUGAUCUUUGGCCUUGACCAUGUGAAGAUUAUCAGACCUGUGAAGGUAGACAGUGAAUUGUUCCGUGUUUCGGUACACAGCUGUGAAGUCUUUUUGCUCCCAUUCGAUAUCAUGUGGGGAUACCACACCAGACAUUGAUUUGUAGCUUUGUGGGUAGGCCUUGUA